This 1151-nucleotide long non-coding RNA is filed under the name Ursus americanus (American black bear). RNAcentral describes it as "lncRNA (ENSUAMG00000016234.1)". The record is from RNAcentral. Lineage: Eukaryota; Metazoa; Chordata; Mammalia; Carnivora; Ursidae.
CGAAGUUUGUGUACAACACAAAGCAAGGCCAGGGUCUUACUUGUGUUCAUCUCCCCAGGGCCAACACAUCGCCUGGUUUGUGGUGGGUGCUGAGUCGCUCCUGGUUUGGCUUCAUCUGACCAUGGGCAGUGUCAUUUGUCUGUAACGGAAGAGGUCACCUCUGUCCCGGUCUGUGCUUGUGACCAGGAGUUGGUGCAGAAACCCAAGCGAGCAGAGUCGGCGUGCUCUGAGGACAGUUGGAGAAACUCUUCCAAGGUGUCCAGUGAAGGCUGGCUUCUAAAAACACCCACUAGGACGCGGCCGAAGUGGGGAGUGUCGGCAAGGGCCUCAGAGCGACAUGCUCCGUGUCUGUGGUCGGCCGGGGGGACCUUGUGCAAGAGAGAGAGAGAGAGAGAGAGUGCGCGCACCUGCCAAGCAGCCCGUCAUCUGUCUGCCAGAGCAAAGUGGGCUCGAGGACAGGCUACCGUGAGGUCUGCCCUCUGCAGGUACACCAGGAGCCCAGGUCCCACAGAGGGGACUGGCGUGCGGAUUUCAUAUGUGACGUUUCCGGGAUGAUGGUCUGCUCUCUGCUUUUCAGGACAUGAGGCCAGGGAAGCCCUUUGUGUGUGUUUAAUUCUGCAUCUCAGGACCCAUCGAGAAGGUCAGGAAGGGCCUCAUCAUGGGCAUGACGAGGAUAGCAUUUUGCUGGGACAGAUGUCUUCUGGGGAAAUUCGCCAUGCUCUGAGGCUCAGUCCUGGGCCGCGUCGGUUCCUGAGCACCCCCCUCCCACCGUGGCACCAACAAGACAAUUCAAACAAUGGUCAGAGACCAUGGCUGGCUCCUAACAUGCGUUCAGCCACACGAGAGGAGUCACAAGCUCUUUGGUACACCGCGGGUGGUUUCAGAGUGCACAUGGCUGCAUCUGAAUUCACCAAAUAGAGAUGUGAGAUUGAUCUUUUGAAAUGUGUGGUGCCUUCAGUGAGUCAUUCUGAUAGAUGUAAACAGGCCGCCAAAUCCCUUCCCGGCUUCGAUGGCGCCUGUAGCUGGGCCAGUGUCGUCAUCAGCAUGACUUCCCUGGACAGUAGUCUCCCCUCCGAUGUCAAGGAGGAAUCAAAACGCCGGAGAUGUCUUUUGAAAAUAAAACAUGAAAAACUCAAUAUUUUGAGUUCUUC